UGGCGAAAUUGGUAUACGCAUCACACUCAAAAUGUGACGACUUUGGUUAUAAGGGUUCGAUUCCCUUUCUACCCAAUUAUAU
Molecule: transfer RNA, 82 nt
Filed under: Dichotomaria marginata
Lineage: Eukaryota; Rhodophyta; Florideophyceae; Nemaliales; Galaxauraceae
Description: tRNA-Leu
Rfam family: tRNA
About the family: Transfer RNA (tRNA) molecules are approximately 80 nucleotides in length. Their secondary structure includes four short double-helical elements and three loops (D, anti-codon, and T loops).
Source: RNAcentral